This 460-nucleotide ribosomal RNA is filed under the name uncultured bacterium. RNAcentral's name for it is "partial 16S ribosomal RNA". It matches the Rfam family "Bacterial small subunit ribosomal RNA", at positions 338 to 795 of the family's 1533-position model. The record is from RNAcentral.
CCUACGGGGGGCAGCAGUGAGGAAUAUUGGUCAAUGGACGAGAGUCUGAACCAGCCAAGUAGCGUGAAGGAUGACUGCCCUAUGGGUUGUAAACCUCUUUUAUAUGGGAAUAAAACGUUCCACGUGUGGGAUUUUGUAUGUACCAUAUGAAUAAGGAUCGGCUAACUCCGUGCCAGCAGCCGCGGUAAUACGGAGGAUCCGAGCGUUAUCCGGAUUUAUUGGGUUUAAAGGGAGCGUAGGUGGAUUGUUAAGUCAGUUGUGAAAGUUUGCGGCUCAACCGUAAAAUUGCAGUUGAAACUGGCAGUCUUGAGUACAGUAAAGGUGGGCGGAAUUCGUGGUGUAGCGGUGAAAUGCUUAGAUAUCACGAAGAACUCCGAUUGCGAAGGCAGUUCACUGGACUGCAACUGACACUGAGGCUCGAAAGUGUGGGUAUCAAACAGGAUUAGAUACCCGUGUAGUC